CUCCAAGGAGCUUACCCAAGCACCGGCCUUUUAAGCCGGGGACGGGCCCCAUCCGGCCCCUUAGAGC
Molecule: transfer RNA, 67 nt
Filed under: Cyrtodactylus chanhomeae
Lineage: Eukaryota; Metazoa; Chordata; Lepidosauria; Squamata; Gekkonidae
Description: tRNA Lys
Source: RNAcentral